Molecule: ribosomal RNA, 320 nt
Filed under: uncultured eukaryote
Lineage: Eukaryota
Description: partial 18S ribosomal RNA
Rfam family: Eukaryotic small subunit ribosomal RNA
Source: RNAcentral
CCCUUAGAUGUUCUGGGCUGCACGCGUGCUACAAUGGCGCUUGCAACAAGUCUUGCCAACCCGAUAGGGUGAGCGGAUCUUUGAAGAGGCGUCGUGAUCGGGACAGUUGAUUGCAAUUAUUCGACUCGAACGAGGAAUUCCUUGUAAUCGCGAUUCAUCAUAUCGCGCUGAAUACGUCCCUGCCCUUUGUACACACCGCCCGUCGCUCCUACCGAUUGAGCGAUCCGGUGAAUGUUUUGGACUGGCGUCAGAAGCGGUUCGCUCCUGACACUACGAAAUUUUGUAAACCUUAUCGCGUAGAGGAAGGAAAAGUCGUAACA